AGUGAACGCUGGCGGUAUGCCUAACACAUGCAAGUCGAACGGCCGCACAGUAAGAGCUCGCUCUUACGGGUGGCGACUGGCGGGCGGGUAAGGAGUACAUCGGCUUCUACUUUUUCGUGGAGGACUACGUAAGGCCACAUACGCUACUACCUCAUAUGUUCUACCGCUUAAAUCAAGGGUUCUUGGCACUCUUCCUGAUUCAUAUAGCCGAUUCCGGAUUAGCUAGUUGGCGUGGUAAAGGCCCACCAAGGCGACGAUGCGUAGCCGAUCUGAGAGGAUGAUCGGCCACACUGGAACUGAGACACGGUCCAGACUCCUACGGGAGGCAGCAGUGGGGAAUAUUCGGCAAUGGGCGAAAGCCUGACGCAGCCAUGCCGCGUGGGUGAAGAAGGCCUUCGGAUUGUAAAACCCUUUUAUUGGGGAAGAAAAGCAGUGGGUGAAAACGCCGAUAUUUUGACGGUACCCAAUGAGAAAGCACCGGCUAACUUCGUG
Molecule: ribosomal RNA, 492 nt
Filed under: uncultured bacterium
Lineage: Bacteria
Description: partial 16S ribosomal RNA
Rfam family: Bacterial small subunit ribosomal RNA
Source: RNAcentral